UAGCCAAUAUUUCAGUCCAAGAACAACUCCAAGCUGGUCAUAUAGAGCCUACUUUUAGUCCCUGGAAUACUCCAGUUUUUGUGGUUAAGAAAAAAAAGAUCUUAGAGCAAUUAAUCACAUUAUGAAUCCUAAGGGAGCAUUACAGCCUGGGCUUCCUUCUCCUACAGCCAUCCCUUUUGAUUAUCAUUUAAUGGUAAUAGAUUUAAAAGAUUGUUUUUCCACUACACCCUUGCAUCCAGAUGAUUGUAAGAGAUUUGCUUUUAG
Molecule: small RNA, 264 nt
Filed under: Marmota monax (woodchuck)
Lineage: Eukaryota; Metazoa; Chordata; Mammalia; Rodentia; Sciuridae
Source: RNAcentral